GACGAACGCUGGCGGCGUGCCUAAUACAUGCAAGUAGAACGCUGAAGAGAGGAGCUUGCUCUUCUUGGAUGAGUUGCGAACGGGUGAGUAACGCGUAGGUAACCUGCCUUGUAGCGGGGGAUAACUAUUGGAAACGAUAGCUAAUACCGCAUAACAAUGGAUGACACAUGUCAUUUAUUUGAAAGGGGCAAUUGCUCCACUACAAGAUGGACCUGCGUUGUAUUAGCUAGUAGGUGAGGUAACGGCUCACCUAGGCGACGAUACAUAGCCGACCUGAGAGGGUGAUCGGCCACACUGGGACUGAGACACGGCCCAGACUCCUACGGGAGGCAGCAGUAGGGAAUCUUCGGCAAUGGGGGCAACCCUGACCGAGCAACGCCGCGUGAGUGAAGAAGGUUUUCGGAUCGUAAAGCUCUGUUGUAAGUCAAGAACGAGUGUGAGAGUGGAAAGUUCACACUGUGACGGUAGCUUACCAGAAAGGGACGGCUAACUACGUGCCAGCAGCCGCGGUAAUACGUAGGUCCCGAGCGUUGUCCGGAUUUAUUGGGCGUAAAGCGAGCGCAGGCGGUUUGAUAAGUCUGAAGUUAAAGGCUGUGGCUCAACCAUAGCUCGCUUUGGAAACUGUCAAACUUGAGUGCAGAAGGGGAGAGUGGAAUUCCAUGUGUAGCGGUGAAAUGCGUAGAUAUAUGGAGGAACACCGGUGGCGAAAGCGGCUCUCUGGUCUGUAACUGACGCUGAGGCUCGAAAGCGUGGGGAGCGAACAGGAUUAGAUACCCUGGUAGUCCACGCCGUAAACGAUGAGUGCUAGGUGUUGGAUCCUUUCCGGGAUUCAGUGCCGCAGCUAACGCAUUAAGCACUCCGCCUGGGGAGUACGACCGCAAGGUUGAAACUCAAAGGAAUUGACGGGGGCCCGCACAAGCGGUGGAGCAUGUGGUUUAAUUCGAAGCAACGCGAAGAACCUUACCAGGUCUUGACAUCCCGAUGCUAUUUCUAGAGAUAGAAAGUUACUUCGGUACAUCGGUGACAGGUGGUGCAUGGUUGUCGUCAGCUCGUGUCGUGAGAUGUUGGGUUAAGUCCCGCAACGAGCGCAACCCCUAUUGUUAGUUGCCAUCAUUCAGUUGGGCACUCUAGCGAGACUGCCGGUAAUAAACCGGAGGAAGGUGGGGAUGACGUCAAAUCAUCAUGCCCCUUAUGACCUGGGCUACACACGUGCUACAAUGGUUGGUACAACGAGUUGCGAGUCGGUGACGGCAAGCUAAUCUCUUAAAGCCAAUCUCAGUUCGGAUUGUAGGCUGCAACUCGCCUACAUGAAGUCGGAAUCGCUAGUAAUCGCGGAUCAGCACGCCGCGGUGAAUACGUUCCCGGGCCU
This 1369-nucleotide ribosomal RNA is filed under the name uncultured bacterium. RNAcentral describes it as "bacterial SSU rRNA". It matches the Rfam family "Bacterial small subunit ribosomal RNA", at positions 28 to 1381 of the family's 1533-position model. The record is from RNAcentral.